RNAcentral lists this ribosomal RNA (492 nucleotides) under uncultured bacterium. RNAcentral's name for it is "partial 16S ribosomal RNA". It matches the Rfam family "Bacterial small subunit ribosomal RNA", at positions 29 to 507 of the family's 1533-position model. The record is from RNAcentral.
AGUGAACGCUGGCGGUAGGCCUAACACAUGCAAGUCGAACGGCAGCACAGUAAGAGCUUGCUCUUACGGGUGGCGAGUGGCGGACGGGUGAGGAAUACAUCGGAAUCUACUUUUUCGUGGGGGAUAACGUAGGGAAACUUACGCUAAUACCGCAUACGACCUACGGGUGAAAGCAGGGGAUCUUCGGACCUUGCGCGAUUGAAUGAGCCGCUGUCGGAUUAGCUAGUUGGCGGGGUAAAGGCCCACCAAGGCGACGAUCCGUAGCUGGUCUGAGAGGAUGAUCGGCCACACUGGAACUGAGACACGGUCCAGACUCCUACGGGAGGCAGCAGUGGGGAAUAUUGGACAAUGGGCGCAAGCCUGAUCCAGCGAUACCGCGUGGGUGAAGAAGGCCUUCGGGUUGUAAAGCCCUUUUGUUGGGAAAGAAAAGCAGCAGGUUAAUACCCCGCUGUUCUGACGGUAACCAAAGAAUAAGCACCGGCUAACUUCGUG